GACCGGAAAACCUUCCAUCCUUUAAGGGUAGACUUUACAUAGAUAAAUUAAGUUGUAUAAGAAAAGCAAAAUGGGUAUGUUAAAUUUGAUGAAUACCUGUAUGUGCUUCUUCGUUUCAUUUGUUGUAUUUAAAGUGAUAUUAAGAUGAUAACACAAUUAUUACUGCUGUAUCCCUGGUUUUGACAAUUUUAUUCGUUGAGUAUGUUUGUUUUGUUCAUGCAUCGUUGACAAUUAAUGGAAUUUUAGGCGACUGUUAUAGAAGUGAGAGGUUUAGCUAGCUAUAAAACCAGGUUCAAUCCACCAUUUUCCACAUUACUAAAUGCCUGUAUCAAGUCAGGAAUAUGACCGUUGUUAUCCAUUUGUUUGAUGUGUUUGGACUUUUGAUUUUGGACUGUCCUUUUUUGAAUUUCCGUCGGAGUUCAGUAUUAUUUUAACAUUUUUUUUUACUGCUUUUUAAUCUUUUUUUCUUUUCACUCAUUGAGUCCAUUAAGUUCAAGAGUUUGUAUCUGGUGCAUCCAAAAUCUCUCUCACUUUUGUCUUCCUUCAUUUUUCUUAAUGAUUUAACUGACGUUUCAAAAUCGUGUCAUGCUAUUUGAAAGGUGUCAUUUAAGAUAUCGGAAAGAAAGUCGCAGGACAAGUAUUACUCCGGUAUCUAUUAGAUACACU
This 666-nucleotide long non-coding RNA is filed under the name Mytilus galloprovincialis (Mediterranean mussel). The record is from RNAcentral. Lineage: Eukaryota; Metazoa; Mollusca; Bivalvia; Mytilida; Mytilidae.